Molecule: small nucleolar RNA, 135 nt
Organism: Rattus norvegicus (Norway rat)
Lineage: Eukaryota; Metazoa; Chordata; Mammalia; Rodentia; Muridae
Product: small nucleolar RNA SNORA17
Source: Ensembl
GCUGCCUCAGAGGCACUGCAGGUGUGGCUGCUGUGUCAUGCGUGCGUCAGUAGGUGGCAGAGGAGAGAGAGGCUACGUCUACCUAGGCUCAAUGUUCUGACCUAUGAACAUCUGAGUGACUAGUGGUGGAACAUU